AUCUUUGAAGUUUAUAAAACGUUAAUUUGUGGAGUUAAAGAUGUCAACUGACCUGAGAUA
RNAcentral lists this transfer RNA (60 nucleotides) under Ergasilus tumidus. RNAcentral's name for it is "tRNA-His". The record is from RNAcentral. Lineage: Eukaryota; Metazoa; Arthropoda; Copepoda; Poecilostomatoida; Ergasilidae.